RNAcentral lists this long non-coding RNA (333 nucleotides) under Homo sapiens (human). RNAcentral's name for it is "HSALNT0348436". Lineage: Eukaryota; Metazoa; Chordata; Mammalia; Primates; Hominidae. The record is from RNAcentral.
GGAAGAGAAAAAGACCGGUCUCUGUUUGGAAAUUACAAACAUAGAAGAACUUAGAAACAAUGGGUUUCUAGAUUGGGUGGAAGGACUGGCUUGGGAUCCUGAGAGAGCAAGAAAAGUUUACCGGGAGCUUCAGAAAAAGUUAUUCAUCAUUUUUGGAGUGGAUAUUCAGAAGUGACUUCCCUCUUUUGCUCUGGCAUUGAUGCAUUCACAUCAAUGGUGAAUUCAGACUUCAGAAGAACUGACCCAAGGACAAAGGUCCACCCAGGCCAUGGAAGAGGCUCCUCAACCGUUUGGAGUUUCACUCUUGUCACCCAGGCUGGACUGCAAUGGCGC